RNAcentral lists this ribosomal RNA (1493 nucleotides) under Clostridium drakei. RNAcentral describes it as "bacterial SSU rRNA". It matches the Rfam family "Bacterial small subunit ribosomal RNA". Lineage: Bacteria; Bacillati; Bacillota; Clostridia; Eubacteriales; Clostridiaceae. The record is from RNAcentral.
GCUAUGAGGACGAACGCUGGCGGCGUGCUUUGCUGUGAACAACACAUGCGCGAUGGUGAAAUCCCUUCGGGGCGGCGCCGUAGCCUGACGGGUGAGUAUGGGCAACCUGCCCGUAGUUCAGUAGCUCAAAGUGCUUCCGAAAGGAAUACCGCAAGUAAUUCACAUCCCUGAUAUGUGUCCCUCGAAAUACUAAUUAAAGGAGCGCUUUGAGAUGGCCGAUGGUACAAUGCGCCCGAUUAGCUAGUUGGAUGGAUUAAGGUGAGGUAACGGCUAUGCGUAGGAGAGGGUGAUCGGCCACAUUGCACGGUCCAGACCCCAGUAUUGUGCGUCCUACGGGAGGCAGCGGAAUAGGCGAAAGCCUGAUGCAGCAAAUUGUGACGCCGCGUGAGUCCCCUGAUGCGACCUAAGGCCUUCGUAAAGUGUCUUUGGGCCAGUAGUACCCAAGGAGGCCGGUAGUAGAGCCACGGCUAAACGUGCCAGCAGCCGCGGUAAUACGUAGGUGGCGAGCGUUGUCCGGAUUUACUGGGCGUAAAGGAUGCGUAGGCGGAUGUUUAAGUCAGAUGUGAAAAUCCCGAGCUUAACUUGGGAACUGCAUUUGAAACUGGAUAUCUAGAGUGCGGGAGAGGAGAAUGGAAUUCCUAGUGUAGCGGUGAAAUGCGUAGAGAUUAGGAAGAACACCAGUGGCGAAGGCGAUUCUCUGGACCGUAACUGAGGCAUGAAAGCGUGGCAGGAUUAGAUACUUUUAGUGACCGUGCCUGGUAGUCCACGCCGUAAAUACUAGGCCCAUGUAAUGUAGGAGGUAUCGACCAUCUCCUUCCCAUGUGUCGCAAUAAGUAUUCCGCCUGGCCAGGACGCAAGAUUAAAACUCCGUAGUAGUUUGACGCAAAGGACGGGGGCCCGCACAAGCAGAGUGGUUUAAUUCGAAGCCGUGAUAACGUAACCUUACCUAGACUUGACAUCCCCGUGACCUGAAUAUGAGGGAAGCGGGGCAGGGAGACAGGUGGUGCAGUCGUCAGCCAAUGAUAGUAAACUCUCGUGUCGUGAGUGGUUAGUACGAGCGCAACCCAUCUUAUGCUACCAUUAACCAUUGGUGAGUUGAGCACUCUAGUGCUGCCCGUGCGGGUUAAAGGUGGGGAAAACUGAUAUCAUCAUGCCCUGAUGCCCCUUACCAUGAAUGUCUCUACACACGGCUACAAUGGUGAGUACAGAAAGACUGCAAGACCGUGAGGUGGAGCAAAACUUUUAAAACUCAUCUCAGUCGGAUUGUACCAUGUAGGCUCCCACUACAUGAAGCUGGAGUUGCUAGUAAUCGCCUGAAGCAUGUCGCGUGAAUCCCCGUAGUAACCGGGCCUGCCCGUCACGUGAUCACCAUGAGAGCUGGCCGAAGUCCGUGAUCUGAGGUAACCGUAAGGCCAUGAUCUCGUGGCCGAAGGUGGGGUUAGUAGGGGUGAAGUAGGUAGCCGUACCGUAGGAGAAGCCGGCUGGAUCGAUGA